UUCAGGUUUUUUCUGGACUCCUGAUGACGUUUUGAGACAUCUCCUACAACUACAGCACCAGAAUUGGGCCGUUGAAGCAAGUUUUUUCGGGACUCCUGAUGACGUUUUGAGACAUCUCCUACAACUACAGCACCAGAAUUGGGCCGUUGAAGCAAGUCCGUCUUUUUGAAUUUUUUGUUUUGUCUGGACUCCUGAUGACGUUUUGAGACAUCUCCUACAACUACAGCACCAGAAUUGGGCCGUUGAAGCAAGUUCGUUUUUUU
Long non-coding RNA from Entelurus aequoreus (snake pipefish), 263 nucleotides. RefSeq lists it as uncharacterized. The record is from RefSeq and is a predicted model, not a curated record. Lineage: Eukaryota; Metazoa; Chordata; Actinopteri; Syngnathiformes; Syngnathidae. The transcript is spliced from 3 exons.